This 303-nucleotide ribosomal RNA is filed under the name uncultured bacterium. Its description in RNAcentral is "partial 16S ribosomal RNA". It matches the Rfam family "Bacterial small subunit ribosomal RNA", at positions 507 to 809 of the family's 1533-position model. The record is from RNAcentral.
AGCAGUAGCCGCGGGAAUACGUAGGUGGCAAGCGUUGUCCGGAAUUAUUGGGCGUAAAGCGCGCGCAGGCGGAUAGGUCUGUCCGUCUUAAAAGUUCGGGGCUUAACCCCGUGAUGGGAUGGAAACUGCCAAUCUAGAGUAUCGGAGAGGAAAGUGGAAUUCCUAGUGUAGCGGUGAAAUGCGUAGAUAUUAGGAAGAACACCAGUGGCGAAGGCGACUUUCUGGACGAAAACUGACGCUGAGGCGCGAAAGCCAGGGGAGCGAACGGGAUUAGAUACCCGUGUAGUCCCUGUCUCUUAUACA